CAUCCGUUUGGUUUAUGCUUGCGUGAUAUCUGUAUUGUAGGAUCUCGAGUUCGUCCAGUUCCGUCCUACAGUCAUAUAUGGUGCUGGAUGCCUCAUCACAGGAAGAUGUCAUUGCAGCCAAAGAACCAAGUAGGUGAUGGAGCUUGUGGAAAAUGGAUAUAUGUACAAGAGCAUGUGAUAGAAUAUAUGAAUAUCCUGGCCAGCUAGCUACGUUAGUUUUCUCCCUUCCAUGGCAAGUGGCAACAGACCAGUUCCAUAGCACCUUGGUUGGGUGGUGAGGUUGAGAUGUCGCGCGGCAGAGUAGCCAACCAAGGCCUAUUAUUUUUGCAGUCCUAUUGAGGUCUGCCGACAGGUUCAGACUUUCCAGUCAAGGAAUUUAUGCAUUUUCUUCAUGAAACAUACAUCCUGUGGUGAGGGGCUCUCCCCCAUCUCCCGUGUUUCCCCUCUGCAAUUUCCUUAUUUCCACAACUCCUCUUCCGCGUUCGGAUUGGGUUAGGUGUAACACACUCAUCUUGCAAGCUUUCUUCGAUCUGGAGAAUGGCAACCAGGAGCUCAAGAGCGACCUAAGGACCUCUGCAUCAACACCGCGAUCCAGUUGGAUAUCGUCGGGAACAGGAAGGCCGUGGAACCACGUGCCCUGCCGCCUACACAAGGCCUUCAGGAAGAUCCAUGCUAGGCUCGUGAGGGAGCUCGAGAAGAAGUUCAGCGGCAAGAUCAUCCUCUGCAUUAAAUGCACCAGUUCAUUCAAUUUAACACUUGGUUGUUUUGGUCUUGAGACUUCAAUUGAGCAGAAAGCUCUUGGUGGUGGCUUUGGGGCAAUAUUUACCAUCUUCAUUCAUCUAAACAGUCAAGCUCUUGUGCUCUCUAAAUUUUGUCGAUUAGUAUCUGACAUAUCUUUACGAUGGUCAUAUGCAGUAGUAUACAUAUGUAACACCUCUAUCGUUUAUUGAGGAGGUUCUUAGACCACUAAAUAUGUCAGCAUCAAAUGGGAAGUGGAUCGAUGGGCUCCAGUUCUCAUCUCUGUUCUGCCCUGGCACAUGAUGUGCAGCAGAAACAGGCACAAACUUUGGUCUAUGUUGAGUGCUUUGGUCAGCUUACAUGUGAGAGCGAGCAAUUUCCGAAGGAUGUAGCUCAGCUCAUUUAGAGUUGAUAUCCAUCAAAUGAAAAACGUUUGGUAGCUGAAGUAUCAAGUAAAAUAUGACUUCUGCAUGACCAUGCUGUUGUACUCCAAUUCAUUCACGCAUCAUAGAUGGGAUACACUGAGUUCUGGAGACCCGUCUUGGGCUCUGCUCGGAGAUCGCCUCCGCAAUGCUGAGCCACGACCGUAGGCUUGCAGUGGUGGGGUUUGCCGUGGUUGGUCUGGUCCUGGCAAGGUGUCAACACUGACGAUCUCACCAUCUCUGUACAAGCCUGAGCUAAACAAGGCAUCCCUGCUCUCUGGCUGACCUGCAACCUCACGUGAUGUAGUGUCUGCUCCUCUCAAAGGUGUCAUGUUAUUUCAUGAAAUAAUUUGUCUUAGGCUAAUGGUUCACUUCAGUUUUGAUCUCUUUAUAUUUCGUAGAAUAUCUUAGGCUAACGUCUUGGUGGAGACUGAUGUAGCCUGCUAUGUUGAUUCUGAAAUAGAUUUAUACAUGAAUGCUAAAGCUCCAUGGUAAAUCAUGGUUUUGUCUUU
Molecule: long non-coding RNA, 1672 nt
Organism: Lolium rigidum
Lineage: Eukaryota; Viridiplantae; Streptophyta; Magnoliopsida; Poales; Poaceae
Exons: 11
Source: RefSeq, a predicted model, not a curated record